UUAGCGUCUGAGGAUGGGUCUGCGGCCGAUUAGGUAGUUGCUGGGGUAACGUCCCAACAAGCCGAUAAUCGGUACGGGUUGUGAGAGCAAGAGCCCGGAGAUGGAUUCUGAGACACGAAUCCAGGCCCUACGGGGCGCAGCAGGCGCGAAAACUUUACACUGCGCGAAAGCGCGAUAAGGGGACCUCGAGUGCGUGCGCAAUGCGUACGCUUUUCAGAUGCCUAAAAAGCAUGUGGAAUAAGGGCCGGGCAAGACCGGUGCCAGCCGCCGCGGUAACACCGGCGGCUCAAGUGGUGGCCGCUAUUAUUGGGCUUAAAGGGUCCGUAGCCGGACCAGUUAGUCCCUUGGGAAAUCUUACGGCUUAACCGUAAGGCUGCCAAUGGAUACUGCUGGUCUUGGGACCGGGAGAGGUAAGAGGUACUUCAGGGGUAGGAGUGAAAUCCUGUAAUCCUUGAGGGACCGCCAGUGGCGAAGGCGUCUUACUAGAACGGGUCCGACGGUGAGGGACGAAAGCUAGGGGCACGCACCGGAUUAGAUACCCGGGUAGUCCUAGCCGUAAACGAUGCGAGCUAGGUGUCACGUGGAUUGCGAAUCCAUGUGGUGCCGAAGGGAAACCGUGAAGCUCGCCGCCUGGGAAGUACGGCCGCAAG
This 650-nucleotide ribosomal RNA is filed under the name uncultured archaeon. RNAcentral's name for it is "bacterial SSU rRNA". It matches the Rfam family "Archaeal small subunit ribosomal RNA", at positions 196 to 847 of the family's 1478-position model. The record is from RNAcentral.